AAUUUUGGACAAUGGGGGAAACGCUGAUCCAGCCAUCCCGCGUGUAUGAUGAAGGCCUUCGGGGUAUAAAUUACUUUUGGCAGAGAAGAAUAGGUAUCCACUACUACGGGAUGCUGCUGACGGUAUCUGCAUAAUCAGCACCGGCUAACUACGUGCCAGCAGCCGCGGUAAUACGUAGGGUGCAAGCGUUAAUCGGAAUUACUGGGAGUAAAGCGUGUGUAGGCGGUUCAGAAAGAAAGAUGUGAAAUACCAGGGCUAAACCUUGGAACUGCAUUUUUAACUGCCGAGCUAGAGUAUGUCAGAGGGGGGUAGAAUUCCACGUGUAGCAGUGAAAUGCGUAGAUAUGUGGAGGAAUACCGAUGGCGAAGGCAGCCCCCUGGGAUAAUACUGACGCUCAGACACGAAAGCGUGGGGAGCAAACAGG
This 424-nucleotide ribosomal RNA is filed under the name uncultured bacterium. RNAcentral describes it as "partial 16S ribosomal RNA". It matches the Rfam family "Bacterial small subunit ribosomal RNA", at positions 360 to 776 of the family's 1533-position model. The record is from RNAcentral.